UCCUACGGGAGGCAGCAGUAGGGAAUCUUCGGCAAUGGGGGCAACCCUGACCGAGCAACGCCGCGUGAGUGAAGAAGGUUUUCGGAUCGUAAAGCUCUGUUGUAAGAGAAGAACGUGUGUGAGAGUGGAAAGUUCACACAGUGACGGUAACUUACCAGAAAGGGACGGCUAACUACGUGCCAGCAGCCGCGGUAAUACGUA
This 201-nucleotide ribosomal RNA is filed under the name uncultured bacterium. RNAcentral describes it as "partial 16S ribosomal RNA". It matches the Rfam family "Bacterial small subunit ribosomal RNA", at positions 337 to 529 of the family's 1533-position model. The record is from RNAcentral.